GGGGUGAGGACAGUGUCUGGUGGGUAGUUUGACUGGGGCGGUCUCCUCCCAAAGAGUAACGGAGGAGCACGAAGGUUAGCUAAUCACGGUCGGACAUCGUGAGGUUAGUGCAAAGGCAUAAGCUAGCUUGACUGCGAGAGUGACGGCUCGAGCAGGUACGAAAGUAGGUCUUAGUGAUCCGGUGGUUCUGAAUGGAAGGGCCAUCGCUCAACGGAUAAAAGGUACUCCGGGGAUAACAGGCUGAUACCGCCCAAGAGUUCAUAUCGACGGCGGUGUUUGGCACCUCGAUGUCGGCUCAUCACAUCCUGGGGCUGAAGUAGGUCCCAAGGGUAUGGCUGUUCGCCAUUUAAAGUGGUACGCGAGCUGGGUUUAGAACGUCGUGAGACAGUUCGGUCCCUAUCUGCCGUGGGCGUUGGAAGAUUGAGAGGGGUUGCUCCUAGUACGAGAGGACCGGAGUGAACGCACCACUGGUGUUCGGGUUGUCAUGCCAAUGGCACUGCCCGGUAGCUAAGUGCGGAAAAGAUAAGCGCUGAAAGCAUCUAAGCGCGAAACUUGCCUCGAGAUGAGUCUUCCCUGGGCCUUUAAGG
Molecule: ribosomal RNA, 587 nt
Filed under: Serratia liquefaciens
Lineage: Bacteria; Pseudomonadati; Pseudomonadota; Gammaproteobacteria; Enterobacterales; Yersiniaceae
Also listed under: 2 other names
Description: partial 23S ribosomal RNA
Rfam family: Bacterial large subunit ribosomal RNA
Source: RNAcentral